AGAUUGAUUAACAAAAUCUUAGGAGUGAUUUAUUAUUUAUUGAUAACAUUUCAUGUAUAUCAUGAAUUUUCUAUAUAAAUAUGGAGUUCAAUUUAUUAUGUAAAACACACAACACAUAAAUAAAAUUUAACUCUUUUAAGGUUUUGUGUCCAUGGAUGUAGGCUCUUAGUAGCCGAACCAUGUAAUUCCUUCUCUUAUUAUUUUCUCCUA
RNAcentral lists this unclassified non-coding RNA (210 nucleotides) under Hevea brasiliensis (rubber tree). Lineage: Eukaryota; Viridiplantae; Streptophyta; Magnoliopsida; Malpighiales; Euphorbiaceae. The record is from RNAcentral.